RNAcentral lists this ribosomal RNA (168 nucleotides) under uncultured bacterium. RNAcentral's name for it is "partial 16S rRNA". It matches the Rfam family "Bacterial small subunit ribosomal RNA", at positions 352 to 511 of the family's 1533-position model. The record is from RNAcentral.
CAGUAGGGAAUCUUCCACAAUGGGCGCAAGCCUGAUGGAGCAACGCCGCGUGAGUGAAGAAGGUCUUCGGAUCGUAAAACUCUGUUGUUAGAGAAGAACGUGUGUGAGAGUGGAAAGUUCACACAGUGACGGUAACUUACCAGAAAGGGACGGCUAACUACGUGCCAG